UACGUAGGGGGCAAGCGUUGUCCGGAUUUAUUGGGCGUAAAGAGCGUGUAGGCGGCCAAGCAGGUCAGCUGUGAAAACUCGAGGCUCAACCUCGAGACGUCGGUUGAAACCGCUUGGCUAGAGUCCGGAAGAGGAGAGUGGAAUUCCCGGUGUAGCGGUGAAAUGCGCAGAUAUCGGGAAGAACACCCGUGGCGAAGGCAGAUCUCUGGGCCGUAACUGACGCUGAGGAGCGAAAGCAUGGGGAGCGAACAGG
This 253-nucleotide ribosomal RNA is filed under the name uncultured bacterium. Its description in RNAcentral is "partial 16S ribosomal RNA". It matches the Rfam family "Bacterial small subunit ribosomal RNA", at positions 524 to 776 of the family's 1533-position model. The record is from RNAcentral.